GACGAACGCUGGCGGCGUGCUUAACACAUGCAAGUCGAACGAUGAUGGACCUUCGGGUUUGGAUUAGUGGCGAACGGGUGAGUAACACGUGAGUAACCUGCCCUUCACUGUGGGAUAACCUUCGGAAACGUGGGCUAAUACCGCAUAGGAGCUCCUGCUGCAUGGUGGGGGUUUGAAAGAUUUUUUGGUGGGGGAUGGGCUCGCGGCCUAUCAGCUUGAUGGUGGGGUGAUGGCCUACCAUGGCUUCGACGGGUAGCCGGCCUGAGAGGGCGACCGGCCACACUGGGACUGAGAUACGGCCCAGACUCCUACGGGAGGCAGCAGUGGGGAAUAUUGCACAAUGGGCGGAAGCCUGAUGCAGCAACGCCGCGUGCGGGAUGACGGCCUUCGGGUUGUAAACCGCUUUCACCUGUGACGAAGUUUUUUUGACGGUAGCAGGAGAAGAAGCACCGGCUAACUACGUG
Molecule: ribosomal RNA, 464 nt
Filed under: uncultured organism
Description: bacterial SSU rRNA
Rfam family: Bacterial small subunit ribosomal RNA
Source: RNAcentral